RNAcentral lists this ribosomal RNA (550 nucleotides) under Fusarium culmorum. RNAcentral describes it as "eukaryotic LSU rRNA". The stretch from base 192 to 345 matches the Rfam family "5.8S ribosomal RNA". Lineage: Eukaryota; Fungi; Ascomycota; Sordariomycetes; Hypocreales; Nectriaceae. The record is from RNAcentral.
UCGUAACAAGGUCUCCGUUGGUGAACCAGCGGAGGGAUCAUUACCGAGUUUACAACUCCCAAACCCCUGUGAACAUACCUUAUGUUGCCUCGGCGGAUCAGCCCGCGCCCCGUAAAAAGGGACGGCCCGCCGCAGGAACCCUAAACUCUGUUUUUAGUGGAACUUCUGAGUAUAAAAAACAAAUAAAUCAAAACUUUCAACAACGGAUCUCUUGGUUCUGGCAUCGAUGAAGAACGCAGCAAAAUGCGAUAAGUAAUGUGAAUUGCAGAAUUCAGUGAAUCAUCGAAUCUUUGAACGCACAUUGCGCCCGCCAGUAUUCUGGCGGGCAUGCCUGUUCGAGCGUCAUUUCAACCCUCAAGCCCAGCUUGGUGUUGGGAGCUGCAGUCCUGCUGCACUCCCCAAAUACAUUGGCGGUCACGUCGAGCUUCCAUAGCGUAGUAAUUUACAUAUCGUUACUGGUAAUCGUCGCGGCCACGCCGUUAAACCCCAACUUCUGAAUGUUGACCUCGGAUCAGGUAGGAAUACCCGCUGAACUUAAGCAUAUCAAUAA